AGCGGACGCUAGCGGCGGGCUUAACACAUGCAAGUCGAGCGCUUCACUUCGGUGAAGAGCGGCGGACGGGUGAGUAACACGUAGGUUACCUGCCCCUGGGUGAGGGACAACCGAGGGAAACCUCGGCUAAUACCACGAUAUGGUCUACGGAUCAAAGGCUUCGGCCGCCCGGGGAUGGGCCUGGCGUCCCGAUUAUUUAAUCCUAGUUGGCGGGGUAACGGCCCACCAAGGGUACGAUGGGUAGCUGGUCUGAGAGGAUGAUCAGCCACACUGGAACUGAGACACGGUCCAGACUCCUACGGGAGGCAGCAGUGGGGAAUAUUGCGCAAUGGGCGAAAGCCUGACGCAGCCACGCCGCGUGAGUGAUGAAGGCCCCAGGGUCGUAAAGCUCUGUCGGGGGGGAAGAAGUUCUGACGGUACCCCCCAAGAAAGCACCGGCUAACUCCGUG
Molecule: ribosomal RNA, 449 nt
Filed under: uncultured bacterium
Lineage: Bacteria
Description: bacterial SSU rRNA
Rfam family: Bacterial small subunit ribosomal RNA
Source: RNAcentral